UUAUAUGGUCAAGGCGGAAUAAGCGCAUAUGGUGGGAUGCCUAGGCAGUUGG
Molecule: ribosomal RNA, 52 nt
Filed under: uncultured Gammaproteobacteria bacterium
Lineage: Bacteria; Pseudomonadati; Pseudomonadota; Gammaproteobacteria
Description: partial 23S ribosomal RNA
Source: RNAcentral